GAAACGGAGCGCAACACUGCAAAUGUCACGAGGAAACACCCCGUUUCUCGCUGAUUUCACUGUUUUCAGGAAUGGUUUAAUGUCUUCGAAAAAGCCCGUUAGCAUUUCUACCGUUUUCAGACGACGUAUCGUCAGAAGGGAGUGUCCAAGAUUUCAAUAUUUCUGAAGGGAGCUGCUGACAGAGAUCUAGGAAGCGCUGAAAAGAUUCUUCAGUGCUGAUGGCCUGCUGCAUCCAGCAGAGUCGCAGUGAACCUACUGUAAGACAACAUCUCCAAGAUGCUAUUGACCACAAGACUAGUACAGGUUAUUAGAAACUGCACAGCACAGGACUUACAGGACUUGUGAGGACUUCAGAUGAUACCAGUACUCAAAAGACCUUAGAUGAUGGCAACUAUAGAUGGACAUACAAACUACCGCCACUGCA
Carassius gibelio (silver crucian carp) is the source of this 424-nucleotide long non-coding RNA. RefSeq lists it as uncharacterized. NCBI's taxonomy places the organism in Eukaryota, Metazoa, Chordata, Actinopteri, Cypriniformes, Cyprinidae. The record is from RefSeq and is a predicted model, not a curated record. The transcript is spliced from 5 exons.